This is a small nucleolar RNA of Callorhinchus milii (elephant shark), 64 nucleotides long. RefSeq annotates it as small nucleolar RNA U54. The record is from RefSeq and is a predicted model, not a curated record. The transcript has a single exon. NCBI's taxonomy places the organism in Eukaryota, Metazoa, Chordata, Chondrichthyes, Chimaeriformes, Callorhinchidae.
UGGCAAAGAAGAUAACUGUUGAAUGAAACAUAAUGAUUGUGUUAUACGCUAUUCUGAGCCAGUA